GAUGAACGCUGGCGGCGUGCCUAAUACAUGCAAGUCGAGCGAACAGACGAGGAGCUUGCUCCUCUGACGUUAGCGGCGGACGGGUGAGUAACACGUGGAUAACCUACCUAUAAGACUGGGAUAACUUCGGGAAACCGGAGCUAAUACCGGAUAAUAUAUUGAACCGCAUGAUUCAAUAGUGAAUGACGGCUUUGCUGUCUCUUAUAGAUGGAUCCGCGCCGCAUAAGCUAGUUGGUAAGGUAACGGCUUACCAAGGCAACGUAGCGUAGCCGACCUGAGAGGGUGAUCGGCCACACUGGAACUGAGACACGGUCCAGACUCCUACGGGAGGCAGCAGUAGGGAAUCUUCCGCAAUGGGCGAAAGCUUGACGGAGCAACGCCGCGUGAGUGAUGAAGGUCUUCGGAUCGUAAAACUCUGUUAUUAGGGAAGAACAAAUGUGUAAGUACCUAUGCACGUCUUGACGGUACCUAAUCAGAAAGCCACGGCUAACUACGUG
RNAcentral lists this ribosomal RNA (497 nucleotides) under uncultured bacterium. RNAcentral's name for it is "partial 16S ribosomal RNA". It matches the Rfam family "Bacterial small subunit ribosomal RNA", at positions 28 to 507 of the family's 1533-position model. The record is from RNAcentral.